GAUGAACGCUGGCGGCGUGCCUAAUACAUGCAAGUCGAACGCUUCACUUCGGUGAAGAGUGGCGAACGGGUGAGUAAUACAUAAGUAACCUGGCAUCUACAGGGGGAUAACUGAUGGAAACGUCAGCUAAGACCGCAUAGGUGUAGAGAUCGCAUGAACUCUAUAUGAAAAGUGCUACGGGACUGGUAGAUGAUGGACUUAUGGCGCAUUAGCUUGUUGGUAGGGUAACGGCCUACCAAGGCGACGAUGCGUAGCCGACCUGAGAGGGUGACCGGCCACACUGGGACUGAGACACGGCCCAGACUCCUACGGGAGGCAGCAGUAGGGAAUUUUCGGCAAUGGGGGAAACCCUGACCGAGCAACGCCGCGUGAAGGAAGAAGUAAUUCGUUAUGUAAACUUCUGUCAUAGAGGAAGAACGGUGGAUAUAGGGAAUGAUAU
This 439-nucleotide ribosomal RNA is filed under the name uncultured bacterium. RNAcentral describes it as "bacterial SSU rRNA". It matches the Rfam family "Bacterial small subunit ribosomal RNA", at positions 28 to 470 of the family's 1533-position model. The record is from RNAcentral.